UACGAGUGCCCCGAGCGUUAUCCGGAAUCAUUGGGCGUAAAGGGUGUGUAGGUGGCAGUGUUAGUCGAUUGUUAAAACCUGGGGCUCAACCCCAGAUCCGCGAUCGAAACGGCACAGCUAGAGGAUGGCAGGGAUGUAUGGAACUCAUGGAGUAGGGGUGAAAUCCGUUGAUAUCAUGGGGAACACCAAAAGCGAAAGCAGUACAUUGGGCCACUCCUGACACUGAAACACGAAAGCGUGGGUAGCGAAUGGG
This 253-nucleotide ribosomal RNA is filed under the name uncultured bacterium. RNAcentral's name for it is "partial 16S ribosomal RNA". It matches the Rfam family "Bacterial small subunit ribosomal RNA", at positions 524 to 776 of the family's 1533-position model. The record is from RNAcentral.